RNAcentral lists this ribosomal RNA (2927 nucleotides) under Escherichia coli. RNAcentral's name for it is "23S ribosomal RNA". It matches the Rfam family "Bacterial large subunit ribosomal RNA". The record is from RNAcentral. Lineage: Bacteria; Pseudomonadati; Pseudomonadota; Gammaproteobacteria; Enterobacterales; Enterobacteriaceae.
GGGUUGUGAGGUUAAGCGACUAAGCGUACACGGUGGAUGCCCUGGCAGUCAGAGGCGAUGAAGGACGUGCUAAUCUGCGAUAAGCGUCGGUAAGGUGAUAUGAACCGUUAUAACCGGCGAUUUCCGAAUGGGGAAACCCAGUGUGAUUCGUCACACUAUCAUUAACUGAAUCCAUAGGUUAAUGAGGCGAACCGGGGGAACUGAAACAUCUAAGUACCCCGAGGAAAAGAAAUCAACCGAGAUUCCCCCAGUAGCGGCGAGCGAACGGGGAGCAGCCCAGAGCCUGAAUCAGUGUGUGUGUUAGUGGAAGCGUCUGGAAAGGCGCGCGAUACAGGGUGACAGCCCCGUACACAAAAAUGCACAUACUGUGAGCUCGAUGAGUAGGGCGGGACACGUGGUAUCCUGUCUGAAUAUGGGGGGACCAUCCUCCAAGGCUAAAUACUCCUGACUGACCGAUAGUGAACCAGUACCGUGAGGGAAAGGCGAAAAGAACCCCGGCGAGGGGAGUGAAAAAGAACCUGAAACCGUGUACGUACAAGCAGUGGGAGCACGCUUAGGCGUGUGACUGCGUACCUUUUGUAUAAUGGGUCAGCGACUUAUAUUCUGUAGCAAGGUUAACCGAAUAGGGGAGCCGAAGGGAAACCGAGUCUUAACUGGGCGUUAAGUUGCAGGGUAUAGACCCGAAACCCGGUGAUCUAGCCAUGGGCAGGUUGAAGGUUGGGUAACACUAACUGGAGGACCGAACCGACUAAUGUUGAAAAAUUAGCGGAUGACUUGUGGCUGGGGGUGAAAGGCCAAUCAAACCGGGAGAUAGCUGGUUCUCCCCGAAAGCUAUUUAGGUAGCGCCUCGUGAAUUCAUCUCCGGGGGUAGAGCACUGUUUCGGCAAGGGGGUCAUCCCGACUUACCAACCCGAUGCAAACUGCGAAUACCGGAGAAUGUUAUCACGGGAGACACACGGCGGGUGCUAACGUCCGUCGUGAAGAGGGAAACAACCCAGACCGCCAGCUAAGGUCCCAAAGUCAUGGUUAAGUGGGAAACGAUGUGGGAAGGCCCAGACAGCCAGGAUGUUGGCUUAGAAGCAGCCAUCAUUUAAAGAAAGCGUAAUAGCUCACUGGUCGAGUCGGCCUGCGCGGAAGAUGUAACGGGGCUAAACCAUGCACCGAAGCUGCGGCAGCGACGCUGAUGCGUUGUUGGGUAGGGGAGCGUUCUGUAAGCCUGCGAAGGUGUGCUGUGAGGCAUGCUGGAGGUAUCAGAAGUGCGAAUGCUGACAUAAGUAACGAUAAAGCGGGUGAAAAGCCCGCUCGCCGGAAGACCAAGGGUUCCUGUCCAACGUUAAUCGGGGCAGGGUGAGUCGACCCCUAAGGCGAGGCCGAAAGGCGUAGUCGAUGGGAAACAGGUUAAUAUUCCUGUACUUGGUGUUACUGCGAAGGGGGGACGGAGAAGGCUAUGUUGGCCGGGCGACGGUUGUCCCGGUUUAAGCGUGUAGGCUGGUUUUCCAGGCAAAUCCGGAAAAUCAAGGCUGAGGCGUGAUGACGAGGCACUACGGUGCUGAAGCAACAAAUGCCCUGCUUCCAGGAAAAGCCUCUAAGCAUCAGGUAACAUCAAAUCGUACCCCAAACCGACACAGGUGGUCAGGUAGAGAAUACCAAGGCGCUUGAGAGAACUCGGGUGAAGGAACUAGGCAAAAUGGUGCCGUAACUUCGGGAGAAGGCACGCUGAUAUGUAGGUGAAGUCCCUCGCGGAUGGAGCUGAAAUCAGUCGAAGAUACCAGCUGGCUGCAACUGUUUAUUAAAAACACAGCACUGUGCAAACACGAAAGUGGACGUAUACGGUGUGACGCCUGCCCGGUGCCGGAAGGUUAAUUGAUGGGGUUAGCCGCAAGGCGAAGCUCUUGAUCGAAGCCCCGGUAAACGGCGGCCGUAACUAUAACGGUCCUAAGGUAGCGAAAUUCCUUGUCGGGUAAGUUCCGACCUGCACGAAUGGCGUAAUGAUGGCCAGGCUGUCUCCACCCGAGACUCAGUGAAAUUGAACUCGCUGUGAAGAUGCAGUGUACCCGCGGCAAGACGGAAAGACCCCGUGAACCUUUACUAUAGCUUGACACUGAACAUUGAGCCUUGAUGUGUAGGAUAGGUGGGAGGCUUAGAAGUGUGGACGCCAGUCUGCAUGGAGCCGACCUUGAAAUACCACCCUUUAAUGUUUGAUGUUCUAACGUUGACCCGUAAUCCGGGUUGCGGACAGUGUCUGGUGGGUAGUUUGACUGGGGCGGUCUCCUCCUAAAGAGUAACGGAGGAGCACGAAGGUUGGCUAAUCCUGGUCGGACAUCAGGAGGUUAGUGCAAUGGCAUAAGCCAGCUUGACUGCGAGCGUGACGGCGCGAGCAGGUGCGAAAGCAGGUCAUAGUGAUCCGGUGGUUCUGAAUGGAAGGGCCAUCGCUCAACGGAUAAAAGGUACUCCGGGGAUAACAGGCUGAUACCGCCCAAGAGUUCAUAUCGACGGCGGUGUUUGGCACCUCGAUGUCGGCUCAUCACAUCCUGGGGCUGAAGUAGGUCCCAAGGGUAUGGCUGUUCGCCAUUUAAAGUGGUACGCGAGCUGGGUUUAGAACGUCGUGAGACAGUUCGGUCCCUAUCUGCCGUGGGCGCUGGAGAACUGAGGGGGGCUGCUCCUAGUACGAGAGGACCGGAGUGGACGCAUCACUGGUGUUCGGGUUGUCAUGCCAAUGGCACUGCCCGGUAGCUAAAUGCGGAAGAGAUAAGUGCUGAAAGCAUCUAAGCACGAAACUUGCCCCGAGAUGAGUUCUCCCUGACUCCUUGAGAGUCCUGAAGGAACGUUGAAGACGACGACGUUGAUAGGCCGGGUGUGUAAGCGCAGCGAUGCGUUGAGCUAACCGGUACUAAUGAACCGUGAGGCUUAACCUUACAACGCCGAAG